CAGCAGCCGCGGGAAUACGGAGGGGGCUAGCGUUGUUCGGAAUUACUGGGCGUAAAGCGUACGUAGGCGGCUUUGUAAGUUAGAGGUGAAAGCCUGGUGCUCAGCACCAGAACUGCCUUUAAGACUGCAUCGCUUGAACGUCGGAGAGGUGAGUGGAAUUCCGAGUGUAGAGGUGAAAUUCGUAGAUAUUCGGAAGAACACCAGUGGCGAAGGCGGCUUACUGGCUCAUACUGGACGCUGAGGUGCGAAAGCGUGGGGAGCAAACAGGAUUAGAUACCCGCGUAGUCCCUGUCUCUUAUAC
Molecule: ribosomal RNA, 301 nt
Filed under: uncultured bacterium
Lineage: Bacteria
Description: partial 16S ribosomal RNA
Rfam family: Bacterial small subunit ribosomal RNA
Source: RNAcentral